This 253-nucleotide ribosomal RNA is filed under the name uncultured bacterium. RNAcentral describes it as "partial 16S ribosomal RNA". It matches the Rfam family "Bacterial small subunit ribosomal RNA", at positions 524 to 776 of the family's 1533-position model. The record is from RNAcentral.
GACAGAGGGUGCAAACGUUGUUCGGAAUUACUGGGCGUAAAGCGUGCGUAGGUGGUUUGUUAAGUCUGAUGUGAAAGCCCUGGGCUCAACCUGGGAAUUGCAUUGGAUACUGGCAGGCUAGAGUGCGGUAGAGGGUAGUGGAAUUCCCGGUGUAGCAGUGAAAUGCGUAGAGAUCGGGAGGAACACCCGUGGCGAAGGCGGCCAUCUGGACCAGCACUGACGCUGAGGCACGAAAGCGUGGGGAGCAAACAGG